Molecule: long non-coding RNA, 975 nt
Filed under: Zonotrichia albicollis (white-throated sparrow)
Lineage: Eukaryota; Metazoa; Chordata; Aves; Passeriformes; Passerellidae
Description: lncRNA (ENSZALG00000018101.1)
Source: RNAcentral
UAAAAUUCUCUGGAAAGUUGAUAUCUAAAAUAUAAUGACCAAAUUUAUCAGUGUGUUGGUCCACUGUGUUGACCCAAUUGAGUUUUGUGAGCAGUGCUGUGGUAAAAUACACAGAUCUCUAUCUUUUUGUUCUUUUCUACAUUUCAGACCCAUGCAUGCUUUUUAUAAGACAAAAAGGUAGAGUGGAUGCAUAUGAAUUUGAAAAUAAUCAUAGCAUGCUGUUCUGUUUUAUUCUUGAUUUAUAGUCUCUCUUCAUCCAGAGCAUUUUACAGUCUGUGUCUCCCUGCUUUAAAUACAGACAGAUACUGGGUGGGUGAUGUGAAAAUAGAGGGCAAGAAAUUUGAUUUUGAGAAAGGGGAAGGUGUCUGAUUUUGCUUUACAUGAAUUCCGUGUAUAUUUUAAACGCAGUUUUAUUCAAACACAAUCUAUUUUGGUUUUUUUUCCUAGAAGAACAGAUAUUUUUUUAAAUGGAAGUAUUUCUCCACCUGCUGGCUUCAAGGAGGAUAUUGCAGCCUUCCAAACAGACAACUUCAUACAGGCAGUGGAAUACCUGCAUAAUAAAAGUCUGUUUGGGAUCAACAACAUUUCUGUGCUGAUACUCUGGAACUGCUGCAUCUGUAAAAACACUCCUGUUGUGAGGCCCUAAAGAACUCCUCCUAGAAAAGUGCAACCAAAGAAUAACCAAAAAUGAUGAUAAUUCAAUGUGAUGUAAGCAAUGCCACAGUUGAAGACUGCUCUCCAGAAGAGACCAAAAUCACAGCAGUGUUUGCUAACAAGGCUAUAACUUCACAUGAUUGGCACUGUAGUUUUGAGGAAAUUUCAACAUGUUGGUCAUUUCACAAGAAAUUGCAAGUAGUUUUGUUAGGUAAAUGUUGAUCAUUUGACAGAAGUUAGAUAGCAAUAUCUAUUCAGUAUUCAGUGUUGCACUAGAGAAGACAUUUAUGCUAUAAUAAAACAAUGUAAUUCUGAUAACCA